ACCUGCGGAGGAUCAUUACCUAGAGUUGUAGGCUUUGCCUGCUAUCUCUUACCCAUGUCUUUUGAGUACCUUACGUUUCCUCGGUGGGUUCGCCCACCGAUUGGACAAACUUAAACCCUUUGCAGUUGAAAUCAGCGUCUGAAAAAACUUAAUAGUUACAACUUUCAACAACGGAUCUCUUGGUUCUGGCAUCGAUGAAGAACGCAGCGAAAUGCGAUAAGUAGUGUGAAUUGCAGAAUUCAGUGAAUCAUCGAAUCUUUGAACGCACAUUGCGCCCCUUGGUAUUCCAUGGGGCAUGCCUGUUCGAGCGUCAUUUGUACCUUCAAGCUCUGCUUGGUGUUGGGUGUUUGUCUCCUGUAGACUCGCCUUAAAACAAUUGGCAGCCGGCGUAUUGAUUUCGGAGCGCAGUACAUCUCGCGCUUUGCACUCAUAACGACGACAUCCAAAAGUACAUUUUUACACUCUUGACCUCGGAUCAGGUAGGGAUACCCGCUGAACUUAAGCAUA
RNAcentral lists this ribosomal RNA (507 nucleotides) under Leptosphaeria sacchari. Its description in RNAcentral is "eukaryotic LSU rRNA". The stretch from base 160 to 313 matches the Rfam family "5.8S ribosomal RNA". Lineage: Eukaryota; Fungi; Ascomycota; Dothideomycetes; Pleosporales; Leptosphaeriaceae. The record is from RNAcentral.